RNAcentral lists this ribosomal RNA (459 nucleotides) under uncultured bacterium. Its description in RNAcentral is "partial 16S ribosomal RNA". It matches the Rfam family "Bacterial small subunit ribosomal RNA", at positions 338 to 795 of the family's 1533-position model. The record is from RNAcentral.
CCUACGGGAGGCAGCAGUGAGGAAUAUUGGUCAAUGGGCGAGAGCCUGAACCAGCCAAGUCGCGUGAGGGAUGACUGCCCUAUGGGUUGUAAACCUCUUUUGUAUGGGGGGAAUAAGCUUUACGAGUAGAGUGAUGACAGUACCAUACGAAUAAGCAUCGGCUAACUCCGUGCCAGCAGCCGCGGUAAUACGGAGGAUGCGAGCGUUAUCCGGAUUUAUUGGGUUUAAGGGGUUCGCAGGCGGCCUGUUAAGUCAGCGGUAAAAGCCCGGGGCUCAACCCCGGCGAGCCGUUGAAACUGGCGGGCUGGAGUUGGAGAGAAGUACGCGGAAUGCGCGGUGUAGCGGUGAAAUGCUUAGAUAUCGCGCAGAACCCCGAUUGCGAAGGCAGCGUACCGGCUCCACACUGACGCUGAGGCACGAAAGCGUGGGUAUCGAACAGGAUUAGAUACCCUUGUAGUC